Molecule: long non-coding RNA, 1078 nt
Organism: Passer domesticus (house sparrow)
Lineage: Eukaryota; Metazoa; Chordata; Aves; Passeriformes; Passeridae
Exons: 4
Source: RefSeq, a predicted model, not a curated record
CCGAGAAACUGCGCCGGUGCCCCGCGUGAGCCACCGCCACCCGAAUCCACUCCAUCAGGGGAGGCAGCACGAUGAACGGCCUGCGGAGACACACGCGUCAGGGCCAAGGCACACGGCAGCAUCACCACGGCAGGGACACAGAGAGGCCAAGGACGGGGAAAGAUGCCUGGACCUUCUUGCUUCCUUCUGGGAUUCUUACAAAAUAAAAGCAAUUGCUGCAGCUGGAGAGUGAAUACAGCAACAGAACAGAAAUUAAAUCCUGGCUCCUGGGAUGCUGCAAGCUGGUGGGAAAAUGCAGACACAUGCCUGGGGACUACUUCCUCUGCUGGUCCACGAGCCUCCAGCUUUCUGCCUGCCCAUCAUAAAACAGACAUCCCACUGAAAUGAGACAGGAUACCAACACAAGAGACACAAAUCUGGCCAGCUGAGAGGUGCUCUCAAGUACAACAUAGGGAAGAUGGAAUAAAGCAUCUUUCACCUUUAAAACUGAGCGCUAUGUAUGCAAACAAGCCACAGGCAUUGCCACGAGUUUGCACAACACUUCUUUCCACCUACAGCUUCAUGAACUAACAAUGGGGCAUGAACACAGCUAGAUCUGACCAACAUCUCCUUCAACAUUAUGCAGCCCCCCUCAUCUCUCCUCAGCAGAACUGGAAAAUGUACCUAACUUUGCUUUACUUCAAGGACAGAAGUCCAAACACUUUCAGCAGCCUGGUACUUACUGAGCUCAGCGAUGCUCCCCACGCGCGUGGCAAGCAGGGACUGUUCGAUGGUCCUCAGCUCUGACUGGCUGAACAUCUGCACCUCCCCAGGCUUGUUUGACCUUUGCUGGUCCUUGUGAAGGUUCAAGCUGUCCGGCAGGCAGAGAACACCUACAGUGGAGAAAAAGAAAGGAGAAGCCCAAUGUAAUUUCAGCUAGUAUGGUAACUUUGCUGCUACCACCACAUUGAUCUGGGGACAUUCCAAGACACAGCCUGCAUGUGCAGAGCUCGAAGACAACCCACAUCUGUAACACAGUGUCUCUGAUGAUUCAUGCAGAAGUGGCCCUUGUUAGCCCUUCUGAAUAUCUUCAAGCUGA